This 270-nucleotide long non-coding RNA is filed under the name Homo sapiens (human). Its description in RNAcentral is "non-protein coding lnc-TEAD2-2:4". Lineage: Eukaryota; Metazoa; Chordata; Mammalia; Primates; Hominidae. The record is from RNAcentral.
UAUUUUACCAAAAACGCAGGGGAUUUAUUUGAGGUUUGGGUGAAAAAUAAUCUUGUGGGUGGUGGUAGGCCGACAGAUGGGGACAGGAAGCUGUGGACGAAAGCCCCAGGUCCCGUGGGAGAGGUGACAGCACAGGGAAGUGCCCAGCGCACGUGACGGGGGCGGGGCGGGACUUUGGGGAGGGCGGGGCCUAACGGUAUCGAGCGAGCCGGUUGUAGACGUGGUCCAGGUUUCUGCACAGGAAUAUCGAGAGCGUCAUGAACCCGAGCU